UACGGAGGGUGCAAGCGUUAUCCGGAUUCACUGGGUUUAAAGGGUGCGUAGGAGGACUGGUAGGUCAGUGGUGAAAUCCCCGAGCUUAACUUGGGAACUGCCGUUGAUACUAUCAGUCUUGAAUACCGUGGAGGUGAGCGGAAUAUGUCAUGUAGCGGUGAAAUGCUUAGAUAUGACAUAGAACACCGAUUGCGAAGGCAGCUUGCUAAACAAUUAUUGACGCUGAGGCACGAAAGCGUGGGGAUCAAACAGG
Molecule: ribosomal RNA, 253 nt
Filed under: uncultured prokaryote
Description: partial 16S ribosomal RNA
Rfam family: Bacterial small subunit ribosomal RNA
Source: RNAcentral